Molecule: long non-coding RNA, 549 nt
Filed under: Trifolium pratense (red clover)
Lineage: Eukaryota; Viridiplantae; Streptophyta; Magnoliopsida; Fabales; Fabaceae
Description: long non-coding RNA (TPRA_LNC010885)
Source: RNAcentral
UUACUUUCCUGGAUCCGGAUCCUCGGCAGUUAAUAUCUCUACAGCAGUGCCUGCUGCGAGUAUCUCACCCGUGAGAUCAAUCCAACGGUUGGCAUAAAGGAUAUAAACUGAUACAAGAAUACGACAAAACCCCCAAUCCCAAUUUUUGUAGUUAUAGAUUGACCAACAACCAGCUAUUCGGUGGCGGAUAAAGCUGGAAUCUUUUCUUUUACUUAUCAACUACUAAAGCUGCAAUCUUUUUGGCGUCUCUAUUCAAUACAUUUUGUAGGUUGUAUCUUCUAAACCUCUCAAACUCUUGUAUCCUUUAUUUAAAAAAUAAGCAACUGAAAGUGUUAUUGAGCAAUGGUUCUGAUAAAUUAGACAAACGAUAACUUCAAGUUUUUUUGGAAUAAAACCCACCCCCACACAUUAUGCUAUUUAUUGGACUCUUUUAGUGAAGGAUUUGUCUUGCCCUCAAACUGAUGAAAUGUUGAACCCGUGUUUGGUUAUGGACAUCGUUUAUGGACUUCGGUUUAUAGGCACAAGAGUUGCGAAUAACUCUAUUGGACA